GUGUUAUUUCGAUAGCACAUAUAAUAAAAUUGGUUCGAUACAGAGAAGAUUAGCAUGGCCCCUGCGCAAGGAUGACAAAAAAAAAAGAAACAAGUAUUUGAAACAUUAUU
Molecule: small nuclear RNA, 110 nt
Organism: Trematomus bernacchii (emerald rockcod)
Lineage: Eukaryota; Metazoa; Chordata; Actinopteri; Perciformes; Nototheniidae
Source: RefSeq, a predicted model, not a curated record